GUACUAGUAGUUCAGACUCAGAACGCCGGUCUUGUAAACCGGAUGUCGGAGGUUAAAGUCCUCCCUAAUACU
Molecule: transfer RNA, 72 nt
Filed under: Variola louti (yellow-edged lyretail)
Lineage: Eukaryota; Metazoa; Chordata; Actinopteri; Perciformes; Serranidae
Description: tRNA-Thr
Rfam family: tRNA
About the family: Transfer RNA (tRNA) molecules are approximately 80 nucleotides in length.
Source: RNAcentral